AGCAGCCGCGGUAAUUCCAGCUCCAAUAGCGUAUAUUAAAGUUGUUGCAGUUAAAAAGCUCGUAGUUGAAUUUCGGGAUCAAUAUGUUGGUCGUGCCUCGGUACGUACUAGCUUAUUGGUUUCUCCUUUCUGAAGAACCAUGAUGUCAUUUAUUUGGUGUCGUGGGGAAUCAGGACUGUUACUUUGAAAAAAUUAGAGUGUUUAAAGCAGGCUCACGCUUGAAUACAUUAGCAUGGAAUAAUGAAAUAGGACGUUUGAUUCUAUUUUGUUGGUUUUAGGAUCGACGUAAUGAUUAAUAGGGAUAGUUGGGGGCAUUAGUAUUCAAUUGUCAGAGGUGAAAUUCUUGGAUUUAUUGAAGACUAACUACUGCGAAAGCAUUUGCCAAGGAUGUUUUCAUUAAUCAAGAACGAAAGUUAGGGGAUCGAAGACGAUCAGAUACCGUCGUAGUCUUAACCAUAAACUAUGCCGACUAGGGAUCGGAUGAUGUUAAUUUUUAAUGACUCAUUCGGCGCCUUAAC
Molecule: ribosomal RNA, 518 nt
Filed under: uncultured Glomus
Lineage: Eukaryota; Fungi; Glomeromycota; Glomeromycetes; Glomerales; Glomeraceae
Description: SSU rRNA
Rfam family: Eukaryotic small subunit ribosomal RNA
Source: RNAcentral